This 1369-nucleotide ribosomal RNA is filed under the name uncultured bacterium. RNAcentral's name for it is "bacterial SSU rRNA". It matches the Rfam family "Bacterial small subunit ribosomal RNA", at positions 28 to 1381 of the family's 1533-position model. The record is from RNAcentral.
GACGAACGCUGGCGGCGUGCCUAAUACAUGCAAGUAGAACGCUGAAGAGAGGAGCUUGCUCUUCUUGGAUGAGUUGCGAACGGGUGAGUAACGCGUAGGUAACCUGCCUUGUAGCGGGGGAUAACUAUUGGCAACGAUAGCUAAUACCGCAUAACAAUGGAUGACACAUGUCAUUUAUUUGAAAGGGGCAAUUGCUCCACUACAAGAUGGACCUGCGUUGUAUUAGCUAGUAGGUGAGGUAACGGCUCACCUAGGCGACGAUACAUAGCCGACCUGAGAGGGUGAUCGGCCACACUGGGACUGAGACACGGCCCAGACUCCUACGGGAGGCAGCAGUAGGGAAUCUUCGGCAAUGGGGGCAACCCUGACCGAGCAACGCCGCGUGAGUGAAGAAGGUUUUCGGAUCGUAAAGCUCUGUUGUAAGUCAAGAACGAGUGUGAGAGUGGAAAGUUCACACUGUGACGGUAGCUUACCAGAAAGGGACGGCUAACUACGUGCCAGCAGCCGCGGUAAUACGUAGGUCCCGAGCGUUGUCCGGAUUUAUUGGGCGUAAAGCGAGCGCAGGCGGUUUGAUAAGUCUGAAGUUAAAGGCUGUGGCUCAACCAUAGUUCGCUUUGGAAACUGUCAAACUUGAGUGCAGAAAGGGAGAGUGGAAUUCCAUGUGUAGCGGUGAAAUGCGUAGAUAUAUGGAGGAACACCGGUGGCGAAAGCGGCUCUCUGGUCUGUAACUGACGCUGAGGCUCGAAAGCGUGGGGGGCGAACAGGAUUAGAUACCCUGGUAGUCCACGCCGUAAACGAUGAGUGCUAGGUGUUGGAUCCUUUCCGGGAUUCAGUGCCGCAGCUAACGCAUUAAGCACUCCGCCUGGGGAGUACGACCGCAAGGUUGAAACUCAAAGGAAUUGACGGGGGCCCGCACAAGCGGUGGAGCAUGUGGUUUAAUUCGAAGCAACGCGAAGAACCUUACCAGGCCUUGACAUCCCGAUGCUAUUUCUAGAGAUAGAAAGUUACUUCGGUACAUCGGUGACAGGUGGUGCAUGGUUGUCGUCAGCUCGUGUCGUGAGAUGUUGGGUUAAGUCCCGCAACGAGCGCAACCCCUAUUGUUAGUUGCCAUCAUUCAGUUGGGCACUCUAGCGAGACUGCCGGUAAUAAACCGGAGGAAGGUGGGGAUGACGUCAAAUCAUCAUGCCCCUUAUGACCUGGGCUACACACGUGCUACAAUGGUUGGUACAACGAGUUGCGAGUCGGUGACGGCAAGCUAAUCUCUUAAAGCCAAUCUCAGUUCGGAUUGUAGGCUGCAACUCGCCUACAUGAAGUCGGAAUCGCUAGUAAUCGCGGAUCAGCACGCCGCGGUGAAUACGUUCCCGGGCCU